Long non-coding RNA from Ceratitis capitata (Mediterranean fruit fly), 1970 nucleotides. RefSeq lists it as uncharacterized. Lineage: Eukaryota; Metazoa; Arthropoda; Insecta; Diptera; Tephritidae. The record is from RefSeq and is a predicted model, not a curated record. The transcript is spliced from 2 exons.
CAAAAAUUCAAAUGAAAUUCUAUGGCUUUUGACUUUUUAUGUUGUUUUGGCAUUGGGCGCCCACUUUGAGAGUAAGUUGGGGACUCAGAACAAGGAGAAAUGCCGUUAACUAUACAGCUCUCCAUAAACACACAGAUUGGUUUACUCCUUUUCAUUUUGCGCCAAUGUUGCAAGUUCCGAGUUCUAUUCCCAACUGAACUUGCUGCGCCAUCUGGUUCCUAGGUCUGUCAUUUCAUUCAGCCGUUUUGUAACCGCAUUGCACUGCAAUUUCGGGGACAAACCAUUCCUGCGUAGUAAAUCUCCUUUCUGAAAUCCUUCAGAACUCUUCGCCUGAGCAUAACGGACUUCUUCGUUUCGGCUUUCCAAUUCGGACCGUCUUUCCUAAUAAUUAGCUCCUCGACGAGAAGACUUUAUCAUAUAACGAUUCUAAUUUUUUCUAAAAAAAACGAUUAAAAAUGAAGCGAUUUCAUCUUGACAAUAAUAAGACAAACAGUAAUUAGCUGUUGUAUUCGCGUCGUCGCUUUAUUUUCCUCAAAAUAAACUUUUGAUAAAUUUAUGAUUUUACAUUUUCAAUAUAUUUUAGUUUCUGUUGAAUCAGCAGCGCUCGUUAAAUCAUGUCAAAUCUUGAUUGUAUAGCAAUAAUACGGCGCGCACAUUUCAAUUGUUUAUGUUUACAUUUAUUGGUGACUGUUAUCUGCAUGACUGUAUUUUGUGAGGCAAAACAUGAAUCGUGUCGAUAUUGAAAUAUAACGGGCCGAAGAAAAUUUAGAAGUACAGUAGCGAAUGGGAAGAAAAUUAUUUUGUGUCCGAAUCCAAAGGGAAAUUAUUUUUUUGUGUCUAAUAUGCUGUCAUGAAUAAUAUAACAUGCAAUAAGAAAUACAAUGUCGAAUCUCAUUUUAAAAAUCAACACCGUGAAAUGAACGAUAAGUUUUUGCCGUUGUCUGAAAAAGGAUCUGCCGAAAUAUUACGAUUGAAAAUUGCAUUGGAAUCUGAACAAAAAGUGAUGGAAAACAUAUUCAGUGCAAAUCAUCAAAAACUCACAUUGCAAAACACGAGAACUCAUACGUCGAUGGGGAAUUUUACAAACAGUUGAUGCAAACAACCAUUGCAACGCUAUGUGAGAAGUGGGACGACAAAUUGAAAACGCCAUUGCUUGAUAAAUUAGAAACAUUAGCGCUCACUCAUACGUCGCAAUCAGUCGCCGUGUCGUUGAUAUUGGAGCUGAAAUCGAAGCGGAAUUGAAAAGUGAAUUGGAAAAAUGUGGAGUAUUUCUUGGCUUUGGAUGAAACGACAGACAUUUCGGAUAUGUCCCAACUAUUUUGGGUGUGAUACAUCAAAAACAAAAAAGGACCAAAGAUAUUUUUGAUGCAUUUAUGACUGACGAUGCUCGAUUUGAUUUGGACUUGAAGGAGCUCGUAUCGAUAUGUACCGAUGGAGCUCCUGCAAUGACCGGUUUUGCUGCCUUAGUGAAAAAAUCAUCAAUACAAUCAGAGCGAGUGAACUACGUCAUCGUCGAUUCAAGAUGUUGACCGAAAAAUUAAUUUGGUGACAUAAUGUUCUUUAAUUUGGGGCUACAAGGAAAGAAUAAAUUCGGUUGGGACUUCGCAAAAGAUAUUCCAGAAUUCAAGUUGAAAUUGGUCGCAUUUAAAAACCAAAUUAAUGAAAAUGAUUUUACUUUCUUCCCAGUGUUAGACACAAAUCAAUAUAAUGAAGAUUUUGAGCUAUAUUUUGAUUUGAAGAUUUCCAAAUGUCAGUUGGCUUUCAAAGACGUUGUACCAAAGUUUUUAAGCAUGUUUGGUUCCACAUACGUUUGUAAAGCAUCAUUCUCAAGUCUUGCGCGCCGUAAAAAUCAUCCUUUCACAUUCUUUAUUCGUAGUUGCAUUCGACACAAUGGUUGUCCAAGUUUGUAAUGUAGAAUAAAUAACUGCGCCAAAAAGUGUCGAAGCAAAAUAUACGAAAUCUAUAUUCCA